This 2226-nucleotide small RNA is filed under the name Pan troglodytes (chimpanzee). Its description in RNAcentral is "retained intron". The record is from RNAcentral. Lineage: Eukaryota; Metazoa; Chordata; Mammalia; Primates; Hominidae.
AGAACGUGCUUGUCAGCUCUUCCUGAUCUGUUGUAGAACUGUGAUCGCUCAGGGAGUCAGAGGCAAACCUGGUGGCCCAGUGGCAAGCAAAGCCAUGGUGGUCACAGCUCUCCUUACUACUGCUACUUGGAGUUUAUUAUGAGGCUCCUUGAGGCUGUGCCCUAUGUUGGGUACAUCCAAGGUUCUGGUUCAUCCCUUAGGAAGAUUUUGUGUGUGAGAAGGCAGCGUAAAGUCUGGCAACACUUUGCCGAGCAUGAAUUCGCCCAGUUGACGGGCUGUGGAAAAGGGGGUUAGUAGAUGAGUGUGGGAAACACUGGGUUCAAGAAAGUUAGUUGGAUUUUUCAAUCGCAGGACUUCUCAAGAGCUUCACUGUGCAAUGCGCAGUGUGACUCCUAAGGAGGGCUUCCAACAGGCAGUUGCCCAGUCUUUUUUGUUUUGUUUUGUUUUUGUUUUAGAGCCAGGGUUUCACCCUGUCACCCAGGCUAGUCUCAGACUUCUGGGCUGAAGCAUUCCUUCCACCUCUGCCUCCUGAGUAGCUGGGAAUAGAGGUAUAUGCCAGCAUACCUGGCCCCAAACCUUUUUUUUUUUUUUUUUUUUUUGAGACAGAGUCUGGCUCUGUCACCCAGGCUGGCAUGCAGUGAUGCAAUCUUGGCUCACUGCAACCUCUGCCUCCCAGGUUCAAGCAAUUCUCCUGCUUCAGCCUCCCGAGUAGCUGGGAUUACAGGUGUGCCACCAUGCCCGGCUAAUUUCUUUUCUUUUUUUUUUUUUUUUUUGAGAUAGAGUCUUACUCUGUAGCCCAAGCUGGAGUGCAGUGGCACGAUCUUGACUCACUGCAACCUCUGCCUCCCAGGGUCAAGCAGUUCUCCUGCCUCAGCCUCCCAAGUAGCUGGGACUACAGGCGCAUGCCAUAAUGCCCAGCUAAUUUUUUUUGGUAUUUUAGUAGAGAUGGAGUUUUACCUUGUUGCCCAGGCUGGUUGCAAACUCCUGAGCUCAAGCAAUCUGCCCGCCUCAGCCUCCCAAAGUGCUGGGAUUACAGGCAUGAGCCACUGCGCCCGGCCUAAUUUUUGUAUUUUUAGUAGAGAUGGGGUUUUACCAUGUUGGCCAGGCUGGUCUCAAGACUCCUAACCUCAAGUGAUCCGCCCACCUCAGCCUCCCAAAGUGCUAGGAUUACAGAUGUGAGCCACUGCACCUGUCCUGUGCCUGUGCUCUUCCAGAGCAAAGUUUCCCACUGGUGCAUGGAGGCGGCAUCACAUUUGUGUUCAGAUACAGAUCCCCUCAGUCAUCAGGGCCCCUGGGCAGGGUCCCCAGAAGCUCGCCACUGGCCUUGGCAGUGUGCUGCCGAUACUUUCUUUUGCGGUGGCACGAAGAUGACCUGAAGCUCUGCUGUAGAGCAAGUGUUCAUGGAAACUGAGAAUGAAAGUUCAAAGUGAGACCAGCGCACGCACCGGUGUCUUCUUCUGGCCUCUGACCCGUCUCAUCUCUUUGCCAGGCUGGAAGUACACCUCGUUGGAGGCUUCAGUGACGACAGGCAGUUGUCACAAAAACUCACUCAUCAACUUCUUAGUGAAUUUGACAGGCAAGAAGAUGACAUUCACUUAGUGACAUUAUGUGUGACAGAAUUAAAUGACCGGGAAGAAAAUGAAAACCACUUUCCAGUAAUAUAUGGCAUUGCUGUCAACAUUAAGACUGCAGAGAUUUACAGAGCCUCCUUUCAAGAUCGGGGUCCGGAGGAGCAGCUUCGUGCUGCGCGAACUUUAGCAGGAGGACCAAUGAUUAGCAUUUAUGAUGCAGAGACGGAACAACUUCGUAUAGGACCGUACUCCUGGACACCAUUUCCACAUGUGGAUUUCUGGUUGCACCAAGAUGACAAGCAAAUACUAGAGAAUCUUUCCACUUCGCCUCUGGCUGAGCCACCCCACUUUGUUGAACAUAUUAGAUCUACCUUGAUGUUUUUAAAAAAACACCCAUCUCCAGCUAACACACUGUUUCCUGGAAAUAAAGCCCUACUCUACAAAAAAAAUGAAGAUGGCUUGUGGGAAAAGAUCUGUUCUCCAGGAAGUUAAAAAACAUGAAUUACCAAAGAAAGCACCUUCUUGGCCUGACAGACCAUUGGUGGGGCUGGCACGAAUCCAGAUCUGGAUCCUACAUCCGUUGGGUCUUAGGCCUCCUUCCCUCCUCAGUGUCUUUCAAAUGACUUUCAAAAUAAAACCUUAUUUUGGCAAAGGC